GAAUUAGCGGGGUCCUCUUUGCUGGUCCUCGACAUGUGAUAAGAUGUUUCCAUGUCUUGGUUUCUGGCUCUGUUGCUUUUGGGACCCGCUUCUAACCGUCUCAACGAGACAAUGUUUGACGCGCGUUCCCUUCUCGGGAGACCCUCUCGACCUCACGAACCCUUGACCUCAAAUCGGGUGAGACUACCCGCUGAACUUAA
RNAcentral lists this unclassified non-coding RNA (200 nucleotides) under soil metagenome. RNAcentral describes it as "partial contains internal transcribed spacer 2 and large subunit ribosomal RNA". The record is from RNAcentral.